This 407-nucleotide ribosomal RNA is filed under the name uncultured bacterium. RNAcentral's name for it is "partial 16S ribosomal RNA". It matches the Rfam family "Bacterial small subunit ribosomal RNA", at positions 28 to 526 of the family's 1533-position model. The record is from RNAcentral.
GACGAACGCUGGCGGCGUGCUUAACACAUGCAAGUCGAACGAAGUGGCGAACGGGUGAGUAACGCGUAAUCAAUCAGCCCUUCAGAGGGGGAGAACAGGUGGAAACGACUGCUAAUAACGCAGACUGAAGGAGGGAAUUGCGUCUGAUUAGCUAGUUGGAGGGGUAACGGCGCAACAAGGCGAUGAUCAGUAGCCGGUCUGAGAGGAUGAACGGCGACAUUGGGCCUGAUACACGGCCCAGACUCCUACGGGAGGCAGCCGUGGGGACUAUUGCACAAUGGGCGCAAGCCUGAUGCAGCCAUUCCGCGUGUAUGAAGAAGGCCCUAGGGUUGUAAAGUACUUUCAGUCGUGAGCGUUACCGACAGAAGAAGCACCGGCUAACUCCGUGCCAGCCGCCGCGGUAAUUC